Long non-coding RNA from Pseudophryne corroboree (corroboree frog), 615 nucleotides. RefSeq lists it as uncharacterized. The transcript has 3 exons. Lineage: Eukaryota; Metazoa; Chordata; Amphibia; Anura; Myobatrachidae. The record is from RefSeq and is a predicted model, not a curated record.
GAGGGGAGAGUUGUAUUUUAGCAGCGCUGUGCUGGCGGCAUAGAGACACAUCACCUCCUCGCUGCUGCUCCUGAGUUAAUUAGUCAGCAGUGUCCUGGCCGGGAGCGAUUGAAGACACUCAGCAGCAGCAGUGAGGGGGUGAUGUGUCUUUGAAUACGCCGGGGUGGGCUGCGGGUGUCUGGCGGGGUCUGGAUGGAUACAGCUGUUUCCUUCCCGGCAAUCAGCACUGAUGGCUGACAGAAAGUUGCAGCAGCUCCAAGUCCUCACCACUACUUGUGUACUACAGCAGCUCCAUGAGAUGGUUUACCUUGGAUGCAGAGACCUUCACACCGUAUGUGGACCUUUUCUCGGACCCCCCCUCCCAUUACUAAUGGAAGGCUAAAAGGCUAAUGUGGAACCUCCCCUCUGGUGUAACAUGUAGACUCUCAGGUUUACCUUGGAUGAGAGACAUUCACCCCAAAUGUGGACUUCUUCUCGGGAGCCCCCCACCCAACACCCCUGGAAGGCCUAUUUCUAUUGUAGAACCUCUCCCCUCUGGUGUAACGUGUAGAACCACACUAAUCUACCAUCUAUAACCCACUGUUAUGUCAUAUCUAUGACAAAUACUAAUCUAAA